RNAcentral lists this transfer RNA (60 nucleotides) under Deltaproteobacteria bacterium. RNAcentral describes it as "tRNA-Ala". It matches the Rfam family "tRNA", at positions 7 to 64 of the family's 71-position model. From Rfam's summary of the family: Transfer RNA (tRNA) molecules are approximately 80 nucleotides in length. Their secondary structure includes four short double-helical elements and three loops (D, anti-codon, and T loops). Lineage: Bacteria; Pseudomonadati; Myxococcota; Myxococcia. The record is from RNAcentral.
UUAGCUCAGCUGGGAGAGCGUAGCGCUGGCAGCGCUAAGGUCAGGGGUUCGAUCCCCCUA